AUUGAACGCUGGCGGCAGGCCUAACACAUGCAAGUCGAGCGGAUGAAGGGAGCUUGCUCCUGGAUUCAGCGGCGGACGGGUGAGUAAUGCCUAGGAAUCUGCCUGGUAGUGGGGGACAACGUCCGGAAACGGGCGCUAAUACCGCAUACGUCCUGAGGGAGAAAGUGGGGGAUCUUCGGACCUCACGCUAUCAGAUGAGCCUAGGUCGGAUUAGCUAGUUGGUGGGGUAAAGGCCUACCAAGGCGACGAUCCGUAACUGGUCUGAGAGGAUGAUCAGUCACACUGGAACUGAGACACGGUCCAGACUCCUACGGGAGGCAGCAGUGGGGAAUAUUGGACAAAGGGCGAAAGCCUGAUCCAGCCAUGCCGCGUGUGUGAAGAAGGUCUUCGGAUUGUAAAGCACUUUAAGUUGGGAGGAAGGGCAGUAAGUUAAUACCUUGCUGUUUUGACGUUACCAACAGAAUAAGCACCGGCUAACUUCGUG
This 484-nucleotide ribosomal RNA is filed under the name uncultured bacterium. Its description in RNAcentral is "partial 16S ribosomal RNA". It matches the Rfam family "Bacterial small subunit ribosomal RNA", at positions 30 to 507 of the family's 1533-position model. The record is from RNAcentral.